AGUAAGGUCAGCUAAUUUAAGCUCUCGGUCUCAUGAAUCGAACAUGUUGGUUAAAGUCCCUCCAUUGCUA
This 70-nucleotide transfer RNA is filed under the name Acentrophryne dolichonema. Its description in RNAcentral is "tRNA-Met". Lineage: Eukaryota; Metazoa; Chordata; Actinopteri; Lophiiformes; Linophrynidae. The record is from RNAcentral.